This is a long non-coding RNA of Pundamilia nyererei, 241 nucleotides long. RefSeq lists it as uncharacterized. The record is from RefSeq and is a predicted model, not a curated record. Lineage: Eukaryota; Metazoa; Chordata; Actinopteri; Cichliformes; Cichlidae. The transcript has 3 exons.
GGGAGGGGGACUGUGGAUCCUCUGUCCCACCAUCUUUCCCAAAGUUUUUCUCUCCUGAACUUUGUGUCUGACGACAACUGUCUCCGUGUGAAGCUCUGUGUUAAGAAACCGGAUCUCGCUCUGGCGUCUGAAGCUUCUAAGGCUUCCGUUUCUCACAAGACGUGUUUGCACUGUGAGGGAGCUACAAUUGCGGGUACCACCAGAAGACACAUGUUAAGUGUGUUCUAUGUCUUUUGCAGGU